This 79-nucleotide microRNA precursor is filed under the name Tursiops truncatus (common bottlenose dolphin). RNAcentral's name for it is "miRNA (ENSTTRG00000024426.1)". Lineage: Eukaryota; Metazoa; Chordata; Mammalia; Artiodactyla; Delphinidae. The record is from RNAcentral.
GGGUGGCUUCUGUGCCCACAGAUAGUUCCUCAUCGAGGAACUUCUGGAUACUGAGACCCAGCAGCCAAAGAGGCUACCC